RNAcentral lists this ribosomal RNA (253 nucleotides) under uncultured bacterium. Its description in RNAcentral is "partial 16S ribosomal RNA". It matches the Rfam family "Bacterial small subunit ribosomal RNA", at positions 524 to 776 of the family's 1533-position model. The record is from RNAcentral.
UACGGGGGGGGCAAGCGUUGUUCGGAAUUACUGGGCGUAAAGGGCUCGUAGGCGGCCAACUAAGUCGGACGUGAAAUCCCUCGGCUUAACCGGGGAACUGCGUCUGAUACUGGAUGGCUUGAAUCCGGGAGAGGGAUGCGGAAUUCCAGGUGUAGCGGUGAAAUGCGUAGAUAUCUGGAGGAACACCAAUGGCGAAGGCAGCUCGCUGGGACGUGACUGACGCUGAGACGCGAAAGCGUGGGGAGCAAACAGG